UUCCCAACCAGAGCGGGAGGAGGAAUUCAUGAGGACAAAGGAUCACCACUCCUUAAGAAGCUGGACCAUGGAAGCAAACAGAUUAGAUAGGACCAGCAAGGUAACCGCUGGCUGUCUCAGACUGACACAGGGGCUCAGGCAUGUUUAAACGCAGAGGGAAGUGCCAGUUGGAGAGGAAGAGGCGGCACAGCAGGGAUUUCCCAGGAGGAAGGUACAUGCAAAUCUCCAGGCUACAUUUGUGGGUGUGACAGAGCCUAGGCAGAACCAAGCCACACUGAAUCAACCAGGCACAAAGGGCGGGAUGCUCCAAGGUCACACAGAGCCACAGAUGACGAUUUCCCACCAGAGCUCUGCCCAGGGCCUCAUCUCUCCAGAAAGAAGUCUGAAGUCUGAGGCUCAGAUAAUUAACUGGCCAUAUGGACCUCCUCAGGGUGCUGAGGGUAGCCACCCUGAGUUCCUGAGAACGAGGCAUCUAUGGCCUCCAGAAGCAGGGGAUUCCUUCUGAUCAAUGGCCAUGGGAUGGAGAGUUAGAGGGUGUGCCCAGGAGAGGCCAGCCCUGGCUCACCUUGCUCAGCAGGCAAUGGUCUAAGUCUCCCUCUGGAAGAGACUUCAUGGCUUCUUGGUCAACCCCCAGUAUAGCAGCAACCUUCUGCUUUCUUUCCCGAUGGAGGACAAAUCUGGUGGGUAGCUUUCCCAGCAACGUUACUCUCUGGAUAAAACUUCUCUGGAAUUGUGAACGUGGACCAGAGACUUGACUUCUUCUUGCCUGCUCACUGCAGUUUUCCUUUCCAGCAUGGAAGAAUUCAUCUGCCAUCUUUCAGGGAACUGUAGAAAGACUAAAAAGGAGACGUGAUGAAAACGAGUUGGAACUUAUCCUGUUUUUUUUUUUUUUUUCUUUAUCCUGUUGUCCUGGCACCAGGUGCACCUUGGUGCCCAGUACCUUACAUCUCCCCGUCCUUACCUUGUUGACAGUAAAUAUCCCUUGGCCCUC
Mus musculus (house mouse) is the source of this 991-nucleotide long non-coding RNA. RefSeq annotates it as predicted gene, 33381. The record is from RefSeq and is a predicted model, not a curated record. The transcript has 3 exons. Lineage: Eukaryota; Metazoa; Chordata; Mammalia; Rodentia; Muridae.